UGGAGAAGAAGCCCUCGGGCUGCUGAUGCCUUGCAGCUGGAGGGCAAGCAGGCUUCCCUCCCUGGUUCAAAAGGCUGCAGGGGAAGUCAGGAGGAACUUGGCUGAGAGGUUGGAGGUAGCCAGACAGUGAGAAAAGGGAAGAAGCCCAGGAUUCUAGAAGCACAAAGUGAGGCCACGAGCAGGAAAGGUGGGGACCAACUGAGGGAGGGAGAGGUGCUUUCCUGGGACCGGGAUGAGGCCAGAGGCCACUGCCAGAAAAGAUGCGUUCCCAGGCAGGCUUGACCCCACCUUCUUCUCACACGGCCUCUAAGCUGAUUCAGGGAAUAGC
RNAcentral lists this long non-coding RNA (328 nucleotides) under Homo sapiens (human). RNAcentral's name for it is "non-protein coding lnc-CXCR3-7:1". Lineage: Eukaryota; Metazoa; Chordata; Mammalia; Primates; Hominidae. The record is from RNAcentral.